AAAGUUUUAGUAUAAUUAUUAUUAGUAUAGUUUAUUGUCAAUAAGCAGGUUUAAACUUUAU
RNAcentral lists this transfer RNA (61 nucleotides) under Torquenema toraliforme. RNAcentral's name for it is "tRNA-Asp". Lineage: Eukaryota; Metazoa; Nematoda; Chromadorea; Rhabditida; Strongylidae. The record is from RNAcentral.